RNAcentral lists this ribosomal RNA (658 nucleotides) under uncultured Lactobacillaceae bacterium. RNAcentral's name for it is "bacterial SSU rRNA". It matches the Rfam family "Bacterial small subunit ribosomal RNA", at positions 841 to 1501 of the family's 1533-position model. The record is from RNAcentral. Lineage: Bacteria; Bacillati; Bacillota; Bacilli; Lactobacillales; Lactobacillaceae.
CAGUGCUGCAGCUAACGCAUUAAGUAUUCCGCCUGGGGAGUACGACCGCAAGGUUGAAACUCAAAGGAAUUGACGGGGGCCCGCACAAGCGGUGGAGCAUGUGGUUUAAUUCGAAGCAACGCGAAGAACCUUACCAGGUCUUGACAUCUUCUGCCAGGCUGAGAGAUCAGCUGUUCCCUUCGGGCACGCAAUGACAGGUGGUGCAUGGUUGUCGUCAGCUCGUGUCGUGAGAUGUUGGGUUAAGUCCGCAACGAGCGCAACCCUUAUGUUCAGUUGCCAGCAUUUAGUUGGGCACUCUGGACAGACUGCCGGUGACAAACCGGAGGAAGGCGGGGAUGACGUCAAAUCAUCAUGCCCCUUAUGACCUGGGCUACACACGUGCUACAAUGGGUGGUACAACGAGCAGCGAGACCGCGAGGUCAAGCGAAUCUCUAAAAACCAUCCUCAGUUCGGAUUGCAGGCUGCAACUCGCCUGCAUGAAGCUGGAAUCGCUAGUAAUCGCGGAUCAGCACGCCGCGGUGAAUACGUUCCCGGGCCUUGUACACACCGCCCGUCACACCAUGAGAGUUUGUAACACCCAAAGCCGGUGGGACAACCGUAAGGAGUCAGCCGUCUAAGGUGGGACAAAUGAUUAGGGUGAAGUCGUAACAAGGUAACC